CCUACGGGUGGCAGCAGUGAGGAAUAUUGGUCAAUGGGCUUACGCCUGAACCAGCCAAGUCGCGUGAGGGAAGACUGCCCUAUGGGUUGUAAACCUCUUUUGUCAGGGAGCAACGCCGGCUACGUGUAGCCGGACUGAGAGUACCUGAAGAAAAAGCAUCGGCUAACUCCGUGCCAGCAGCCGCGGUAAUACGGAGGAUGCGAGCGUUAUCCGGAUUUAUUGGGUUUAAAGGGUGCGUAGGCGGAAUGCCAAGUCAGCGGUAAAAUCCCGGGGCUCAACCUCGCCGAGCCGUUGAAACUGGCGGUCUUGAGAUGUCGAGAGGUAUGCGGAAUGCGCGGUGUAGCGGUGAAAUGCUUAGAUAUUGCGCAGAACUCCGAUUGCGAAGGCAGCAUACCGGCGGCGAUCUGACGCUGAAGCACGAAAGCGUGGGUAUCGAACAGGAUUAGAUACCCGGGUAGUC
Molecule: ribosomal RNA, 460 nt
Filed under: uncultured bacterium
Lineage: Bacteria
Description: partial 16S ribosomal RNA
Rfam family: Bacterial small subunit ribosomal RNA
Source: RNAcentral